AUUUUCUAGAAGAUGACGGUUUUU
RNAcentral lists this small nuclear RNA (24 nucleotides) under Arabidopsis thaliana (thale cress). RNAcentral's name for it is "snRNA_11313". Lineage: Eukaryota; Viridiplantae; Streptophyta; Magnoliopsida; Brassicales; Brassicaceae. The record is from RNAcentral.